CGGAGGUGUGGCGAAUCGCCCCCAAAAGUUGCUCGAGACUGAGCUUGAACCCUGCGUUGCUUGGGGUAUAUUUGGGGGAUGGGGUUUGGCGUCUGGGGGCCCGCAGGUGGAAGGUAGCCCCAAAGAAGAGUAAAGAAUGUGCCCACAGGCAUGUCCAAUUUUCCGCAAAAAGAGCUCGUCGUCUGGCGGUGUGUAAGUGAGAUUUGAGUUAUUCGCCACGGGUGGUUUUGGUGGCGGGUACUGCUUAGUGACUAAAGGGGCGGGAGUGAAGGACUUAGGCGCAGCCUGUGAGCGCAUCGUGGCUAAGCUGUUGUGCCUUACCUCUUGUGUGUGCUGCACGCCCACGUGAGCGGCACCACCCUAACCUGUUGGCUGGGGUAAGCGUUCGACGCCGCUUCAUGGAACUGUGUUGUGCAGCAGGCCGCCUCCUCAUUCCCUUCAUCCUCUGCUGCGAUAUCACCCUUGAAAGCUGCAGCAACAGCCGCCGCCCCAAGGCCGCCUUCUUGUCAACCGCCUUCUAGCGCUGCAAAAAUACAACCUUCAGGGCUGGAUUAGCGGGCUCAUAGCUCGCGGGAGCAAGUUCGGGAUGAUAAGCAAACCACUUGCUCUGCUGGUGACCCAUGGCUCCGCAGAAUUCGCAAGAUGGCCUAUUCCCCCGCCCCUCGCUUGCACCCUGUCCCUGCUUGGGCUUCGAUGGCCCAGCCCCCUUCUGCUUUUGCCCACCCAUUCCCCCGGGACUCCCCUGAGGUCG
This 751-nucleotide long non-coding RNA is filed under the name Volvox carteri. Its description in RNAcentral is "long non-coding RNA (VCAR_LNC000829)". The record is from RNAcentral. Lineage: Eukaryota; Viridiplantae; Chlorophyta; Chlorophyceae; Chlamydomonadales; Volvocaceae.